AGCAUACCGCCUGGGGAGUACGGUCGCAAGAUUAAAACUCAAAGGAAUAGACGGGGACCCGCACAAGCGGUGGAGCAUGUGGUUUAAUUCGAAGAUACGCGAAGAACCUUACCUAGGCUUGAUAUCCAACAAAUUCUGUAGAGAUACGGAAGUGCUAGCUUGCUAGAAUGUUGAGACAGGUGCUGCACGGCUGUCGUCAGCUCGUGUCGUGAGAUGUUGGGUUAAGUCCCGCAACGAGCGCAACCCUCGUCCUUAGUUGCUAACGAUUCGGUCGAGCACUCUAAGGAGACUGCCUUCGUAAGGAGGAGGAAGGUGGGGACGACGUCAAGUCAUCAUGGCCCUUACGCCUAGGGCGACACACGUGCUACAAUGGCAUAUACAAUGAGACGCAAUACCGCGAGGUGGAGCAAAUCUAUAAAAUAUGUCCCAGUUCGGAUUGUUCUCUGCAACUCGAGAGCAUGAAGCCGGAAUCGCUAGUAAUCGCAAAUCAGCCAUGUUGCGGUGAAUACGUUCCCGGGUCUUGUACUCACCGCCCGUCACACCAUGGGAGUUGAUUUCACUCGAAGUGGAAAUACUAAACUAGUUAUCCCCCACAGUGGAAUCAGCGACUGGGGUGAAGUCGUAACAAGGUAACCGUAGGAGAACCUGCGGUUGGAUCACCUCCUUUCUA
RNAcentral lists this ribosomal RNA (670 nucleotides) under Campylobacter upsaliensis. Its description in RNAcentral is "bacterial SSU rRNA". It matches the Rfam family "Bacterial small subunit ribosomal RNA", at positions 863 to 1533 of the family's 1533-position model. Lineage: Bacteria; Pseudomonadati; Campylobacterota; Epsilonproteobacteria; Campylobacterales; Campylobacteraceae. The record is from RNAcentral.